RNAcentral lists this ribosomal RNA (418 nucleotides) under bacterium enrichment culture clone ALO1_GLFRUDD03GH0L3. RNAcentral's name for it is "bacterial SSU rRNA". It matches the Rfam family "Bacterial small subunit ribosomal RNA", at positions 9 to 429 of the family's 1533-position model. The record is from RNAcentral.
GAGUUUGAUCAUGGCUCAGAUUGAACGCUGGCGGCAUGCCUUACACAUGCAAGUCGAACGGCAGCACGGGAGCUUGCUCCUGGUGGCGAGUGGCGAACGGGUGAGUAAUGCAUCGGAACGUAUCCUGGAGUGGGGGAUAACGUAGCGAAAGUUACGCUAAUACCGCAUAUUCUGUGAGCAGGAAAGCGGGGGACCUUCGGGCCUCGCGCUCUUGGAGCGGCCGAUGUCGGAUUAGCUAGUUGGUGAGGUAAAGGCCCACCAAGGCGACGAUCCGUAGCAGGUAUGAGAGGAUGAUCUGCCACACUGGAACUGAGACACGGUCCAGACUCCUACGGGAGGCAGCAGUGGGGAAUUUUGGACAAUGGGGGCAACCCUGAUCCAGCCAUGCCGCGUGAGUGAAGAAGGCCUCGGUUGUAAG